GUUUAAGGCCAUACCAUCCUGAACAUGCCUGAUAUCAUCUGAUCUCAGAAGAUAAGCAGGGUCAGACCUGGUUAGUACUUGGAUGAGAGAAAUACCAUAUGAUUCAGCA
Panthera pardus (leopard) is the source of this 109-nucleotide ribosomal RNA. The record is from Ensembl. NCBI's taxonomy places the organism in Eukaryota, Metazoa, Chordata, Mammalia, Carnivora, Felidae.